GAUGAACGCUGGCGGCGUGCCUAAUACAUGCAAGUCGAGCGGACCAAAGAGAGCUUGCUCUCUGAGGUUAGCGGCGGACGGGUGAGUAACACGUGGGUAACCUGCCUGUAAGACGGGGAUAACUUCGGGAAACCGAAGCUAAUACCGGAUGACAAAGAGAACCGCCUGUUUCUUUUUUGAAAGUCGGCCUUGUGCUGACGCUUACAGAUGGGCACGCGGCGCAUUAGCUAGUUGGUGAGGUAACGGCUCACCAAGGCGACGAUGCGUAGCCGACCUGAGAGGGUGAUCGGCCACACUGGAACUGAGACACGGCCCAGACGCCUACGGGAGGCGGCAGUAGGGAAUCUUCGGCAAUGGACGAAAGUCUGACCGAGCAACGCCGCGUGAGCGAUGAAGGCCUUCGGGUCGUAAAGCUCUGUUGUCAGAGAAGAACAAGUACCGGAGUAACUGCCGGUACCUUGACGGUACCUGACCAGAAAGCCACGGCUAACUACGUGCCAGCCGCCGCCGUAA
This 513-nucleotide ribosomal RNA is filed under the name uncultured bacterium. Its description in RNAcentral is "partial 16S ribosomal RNA". It matches the Rfam family "Bacterial small subunit ribosomal RNA", at positions 28 to 523 of the family's 1533-position model. The record is from RNAcentral.